AAGGAGUCUAACAUGCUUGCGAGUAUUUGGGUGUCAAACCCGGAUGCGUAAUGAAAGUGAAUGGAGGUGGGAAGCGCAAGCUGCACCAUCGACCGAUCUGGAUUUUCUAAGAUGGAUUUGAGUAAGAGCACGUAUGUUGGGACCCGAAAGAUGGUGAACUAUGCCUGAAUAGGGCGAAGCCAGAGGAAACUCUGGUGGAGGCUCGUAGCGGCUCUGACGUGCAAAUCGAUCGUCAAAUUUGGGUAUAGGGGCGAAAGACUAAUCGAACCAUCUAGUAGCUGGUUCCUGC
RNAcentral lists this unclassified non-coding RNA (289 nucleotides) under uncultured fungus. RNAcentral's name for it is "partial contains 5.8S rRNA, ITS2 and 28S rRNA". It matches the Rfam family "Eukaryotic large subunit ribosomal RNA", at positions 668 to 961 of the family's 3401-position model. The record is from RNAcentral. Lineage: Eukaryota; Fungi.